CGUAGGGACCGAGCGUUGUCCGGAUUCAUUGGGCGUAAAGAGCUCGUAGGCGGCUGCUCAAGUCGAAUGUGAAAACUCGAGGCUUAACCUCGAGCCUGCAUUCGAUACUGGGCGGCUAGAGUCUGGUAGGGGGAUCUGGAAUUCCUGGUGUAGCGGUGGAAUGCGCAGAUAUCAGGAGGAACACCGGUGGCGAAGGCGGGAUCCUGGGCCAGUACUGACGCUGAGGAGCGAAAGCGUGGGGAGCAAACAGGAUUAGAUACCCUGGUAGUCCACGCCGUAAACGAUGGGCGCUAGGUGUGGGAGGUCAUCGACUCCUUCCGUGCCGCAGCUAACGCAUUAAGCGCCCCGCCUGGGGAGUACGGCCGCAAGGCUA
Molecule: ribosomal RNA, 373 nt
Filed under: uncultured organism
Description: bacterial SSU rRNA
Rfam family: Bacterial small subunit ribosomal RNA
Source: RNAcentral